UUAUUGAAUUUCGAAGUCGUAUUAAAUUUUGAUGCGACGUAAGUUACGGAAUUGGAUUAAAUCGUAAAGAAAUUUAGAGGAACUAAAUUGGAUCUUUUGCCAUUUGAAGUCCAAUAGAUAAGGCCAUAUGAUAUCAUCCUCUUCACUUUCUUAAGACUUCAAGAAGCUACCAAAUUCUCACCAAAAAGCUUCUCUUUGCCGAACCCAUAACCCCACCACCAUCUCCAUCAAAAUCUCACCAAAGCUUGGAGUUUUUGGAAGCAAAAGACUCUAAAAUCAAAGGAGAUCAAGACUCGACGAGGCGAUUAUCAAGGGGACGCGGAACGUAAAGAACGCGACAUCGCUUUGCUAGGGCCGAAGUCUUUGGAUAGAAAUUUUGUUAUGUUUCAGGUGUAUAGUAGCGAAUGUAACGGACUUCUAUCCUUGUUCCAGAAGUCCGCGAGUACAGAAAGAAGGAACCAAUCAGUAGUGCUGCAGUAGUCGAGUCCUAGAGUGUAAUUAUGUUUUGUCAAACAGUUUUAAAUAUUUUGUUUAUACUCUGAUAUGUAUAAAGGCUUUAGACUGCGCUUUUAAACCGUUUACAUAUAUGUGAGAAACAGGGCAUUGCUUGAUAUGAGAUAUCACUUUGUAAGACCCUGAUUUCUAAAGAUCGUCUUGUAUCGUUUAAAGAAGUUUUAUAAAAAAAAAACAUUUUGAGAA
Molecule: long non-coding RNA, 699 nt
Organism: Mercurialis annua (annual mercury)
Lineage: Eukaryota; Viridiplantae; Streptophyta; Magnoliopsida; Malpighiales; Euphorbiaceae
Exons: 3
Source: RefSeq, a predicted model, not a curated record